This 612-nucleotide long non-coding RNA is filed under the name Ananas comosus (pineapple). Its description in RNAcentral is "long non-coding RNA (ACOM_LNC038229)". Lineage: Eukaryota; Viridiplantae; Streptophyta; Magnoliopsida; Poales; Bromeliaceae. The record is from RNAcentral.
CCGCCUCUUUGGUCGGUUUCGGUACGCCAACAGACCGCCGAACGGACAGGAUUUUCCCUGUACCGCAGACAGAGUCUCCCCCGUACAUUCAAGGCGUCACAAUCCAUACAAAGCGCGAGGUUCCAAACAGGAACAAUACUUAACAACGAUUGUAUAAGGAAGGUAUCAAACAACAUAACACAUCCUAUGUUAUUACAAGCAUUCCCAUUAGAUUCAUUUUUACAUCACACUUACAUAUUAAUAUUUACAUCACAUUAUACAUUCCUUGAUUCAUACAUCCAAAUACAAUCAAGUUCUUUCAAUUAUUGCAUUCUUGGUUCUUUUCAUUUUUAUACCCCUAAGUAGCCGACUCGGGAUACUGCUAUCUGGUCUCGGUGGUAGGGCGCUAACUACGGAGCUACGCCCUUGCCUCGCGCCGCCGCGCCGCUCACGUGCGAACCUGUAACACCCCAAAACAACGUGGGGUGAGAACCAACUCCAUGGUUCCCAGUGGGUACGGCCACCCAAGGGAAAAGCUCGACCGAUAGGUCCAAGGAGGCACUGCAAUCAUGUUAGUCCAAAAACAUCUACAGAUAUAUAUAUCAUCAUGUAAUUAUGCAACUAACAGAUAAC